AACAUAUCUUUACAGUUCU
RNAcentral lists this small nuclear RNA (19 nucleotides) under Arabidopsis thaliana (thale cress). RNAcentral's name for it is "snRNA_09875". The record is from RNAcentral. Lineage: Eukaryota; Viridiplantae; Streptophyta; Magnoliopsida; Brassicales; Brassicaceae.